AGAUUAAACUGAAGAGUUUGAUCCUGGCUCAGAUUGAACGCUGGCGGCAUGCUUUACACAUGCAAGUCGUACGCGGGUGAGGGGCAACUCUCACCUGAGUGGCGAACGGGUGAGUAAUACAUCGGAACGUGUCCCGUAGUGGGGGAUAGCUCGGCGAAAGCCGGAUUAAUACCGCAUAUGCUCUACGGAGGAAAGCGGGGGAUCCGCAAGGACCUCGCGCUAUGGGAGCGGCCGAUGUCCGAUUAGCUUGUUGGUGGGGUAACGGCUUACCAAGGCGACGAUCGGUAGCUGGUCUGAGAGGAUGAUCAGCCACACUGGGACUGAGACACGGCCCAGACUCCUACGGGAGGCAGCAGUGGGGAAUUUUGGACAAUGGGGGAAACCCUGAUCCAGCCAUGCCGCGUGAGUGAAGAAGGCCUUCGGGUUGUAAAGCUCUUUUGGCCGGAAAGAAAAGGCUACGGAUAACACCCGUGGUCCUUGACGGUACCGGCAGAAUAAGCACCGGCUAACUACGUGCCAGCAGCCGCGGUAAUACGUAGGGUGCGAGCGUUAAUCGGAAUUACUGGGCGUAAAGAGUGCGUAGGCGGUCCCGCAAGUCCGCUGUGAAAGCCCCGGGCUUAACCUGGGAAUGGCAGUGGAAACUAUGGGACUUGAAUCUGGCAGAGGGGGGUGGAAUGCCACGUGUAGCAGUGAAAUGCGUAGAGAUGUGGCGGAACACCGAUGGCGAAGGCAGCCCCCUGGG
This 742-nucleotide ribosomal RNA is filed under the name Betaproteobacteria bacterium. Its description in RNAcentral is "bacterial SSU rRNA". It matches the Rfam family "Bacterial small subunit ribosomal RNA", at positions 1 to 733 of the family's 1533-position model. Lineage: Bacteria; Pseudomonadati; Pseudomonadota; Betaproteobacteria. The record is from RNAcentral.